RNAcentral lists this ribosomal RNA (492 nucleotides) under uncultured bacterium. RNAcentral's name for it is "partial 16S ribosomal RNA". It matches the Rfam family "Bacterial small subunit ribosomal RNA", at positions 29 to 507 of the family's 1533-position model. The record is from RNAcentral.
AGUGAACGCUGGCGGUAGGCCUAACACAUGCAAGUCGAACGGCAGCACAGUAAGAGCUUGCUCUUACGGGUGGCGAGUGGCGGACGGGUGAGGAAUACAUCGGAAUCUACUUUUUCGUGGGGGAUAACGUAGGGAAACUUACGCUAAUACCGCAUACGACCUACGGGUGAAAGCAGGGGAUCUUCGGACCUUGCGCGAUUGAAUGAGCCGAUGUCGGAUUAGCUAGUUGGCGGGGUAAAGGCCCACCAAGGCGACGAUCCGUAGCUGGUCUGAGAGGAUGAUCAGCCACACUGGAACUGAGAAACGGUCCAGACUCCUACGGGAGGCAGCAGUGGGGAAUAUUGGACAAUGGGCGCAAGCCUGAUCCAGCCAUACCGCGUGGGUGAAGAAGGCCUUCGGGUUGUAAAGCCCUUUUGUUGGGAAAGAAAAGCAGCAGGUUAAUACCCCGCUGUUCUGACGGUACCCAAAUAAUAAGCACCGGCUAACUUCGUG